GUCUUGUGAUUGGUCUAGAAGAGCUGCUGGCCCUCUAGAGAGACACCAGCACUGAUUGCAUAGGCCUGACUCAGCUUUUCCUCCUUCUCUGUCCGUGCUUUGCUGGCAAGCUUACUAACAUUGAGUGCAGCUAGGGGAGGAGGGGUUUCUGUUCGGUCAUUAAUUAUUUCCACUUCGGAAACAUACUGUAAGUUUAUGAGCAAGAUGUCUGCAUGGUUGGGCUUUCCAUUGGAAGAGGGACAUUUUAAAGCCAGCAUUUUGGAUUGGUGGUCAAAGGCUACCACCUCGCCCUGCAGCCGCUGCUCCUGGCACGCCCCGCUCCACACCUGGCUCCCAACGCUAUAUACUCGCCGGGAGGAGCCGCCAUCUUGGGAGUGCAGCCGCGGCCGCCCGGCGGCGGCGGCGGCGGCAGCAGCGGGCGAAAGCCGGGCCCCCAGUGAGCGCCGCGCCGCGCCGCCAUUUUGUGGAUUUUUAUCUCAGUUCCAUCACUUUGAACAGUUGGGAUCAACUCAACAAUAUUUAAAGUGGGCUUUGCAGAGCAUCUUGUGGACAAAGUACAAGGGGAAGGAGCCAGACCCUCCCCAUGGCCAUGCUUUCUCUGAAACAGCCCUGAUGACGUACUUUUUCAUGCUGAGGUCUGAGAUUAGACCCCGACCUAGACUGGGAUUGCCUCCUUUUCUCUCAAAUGUUAGGAGGAGGCAUAACACAGUAACUCAAAGGAAGACAAGCACUCCUAAGCAAGACAACACUAGUAAGUAUACUCGAGCAUCAUUCUUCCUAGAAACUGAAGUCACUUCCUUUGGAUGUUUGUCACCAUCGUCAUUGAAAAUUUGUUCUCUGACCCCAGAGCAACACAUCCAGAACAGAAUCAGACAAUAUAGAUAUACUUAUGUAGUUAAGAAUAAAUGA
RNAcentral lists this long non-coding RNA (909 nucleotides) under Macaca mulatta (Rhesus monkey). RNAcentral describes it as "lncRNA (ENSMMUG00000058957.1)". Lineage: Eukaryota; Metazoa; Chordata; Mammalia; Primates; Cercopithecidae. The record is from RNAcentral.